UACCAGCCGGGGAGUUAGCGGUGCCUUGUACCCGAGAUCCGCUGUAGCGGGGGUGGAUUCCCCGAACGAGGGUGGAGUCGACGCGGUCUGCAGCCUGCCUGUCUGUGUUGAAGGACGGGUCUCGCGCAAUCGGACGCUGUGAAUCAUGUCAGGUGGGGAACCAAGCAGCAUUAAGCGGUAAGUCCGGUGUGCCGCGGGGUUGCCUGUCCGGAGCAGACGACAGUAUAUGCGCGCGGCGGUAAUAUUCG
RNAcentral lists this signal recognition particle RNA (248 nucleotides) under bovine gut metagenome. Its description in RNAcentral is "Bacterial large signal recognition particle RNA". It matches the Rfam family "Bacterial large signal recognition particle RNA". Rfam says of the family: The signal recognition particle (SRP) is a universally conserved ribonucleoprotein involved in the co-translational targeting of proteins to membranes. Archaeal SRP consists of a 7S RNA and homologues of the eukaryotic SRP19 and SRP54 proteins. In most bacteria, the SRP consists of a 4.5S RNA and the Ffh protein (a homologue of the eukaryotic SRP54 protein). The record is from RNAcentral. RNAcentral also lists the same sequence under 1 other name.